GGCAAGUUUGUGACGGUUACUGUGCAUUGCAGGGAGUGGGACAGAUAUCAGAAAACAUUUUCAUUUUGAAAUUGAGCAAAACAUCAAGUGGUCUUCAAGCAGCAUUCAAAGGAUAGAAUUCAUAGUCAGAAUACAUUUACAUCUCAGUUUAAUUAUGUAAACCAUCUGCCAUGUCAUAAAUAUUAAUAGUGGUCAUUAUUGAGGUCUGUCUACUAUUAUAUAUUUAUCACACCUUGAAUGUGAUUGCAUUUAGUGUUUAGCUUGAAUUUUAUUUUCCUUUUAAGGUCUCCUUAUAAUAUUGCUGUUAUCUGCUGCAUCUCAUUUAUCCGGCUCUGCAGAGAAAUAUGAUGAUCUCAGUGUAUUACUUUACAUAUUUGUGGCUCAUCAUGGACAUACAAAGUGACCACUUCAAGCUCUGGAUUGCAGAAUUGGAUUUCUCCAAUAGCCUUUUAGCACAGAAUAAAGUGCUCUUCCAAAAAUCUAAAGAGUCUGUAAAAUAGACGAUGCUAUAAUACUUUGUGAAAAUAGAGCAUGAAUGAAUAUCUAAUUGCAAGUCCACAAGUUCAUUUAAAA
This is a non-coding RNA of Pelobates cultripes (western spadefoot toad), 573 nucleotides long. NCBI's taxonomy places the organism in Eukaryota, Metazoa, Chordata, Amphibia, Anura, Pelobatidae. The record is from the annotation of a GenBank genome assembly.